AUUGAACGCUGGCGGCAUGCUUUACACAUGCAAGUCGAACGGCAGCGCGGGCUUCGGCCUGGCGGCGAGUGGCGAACGGGUGAGUAAUACAUCGGAACGUGCCCAGUAGUGGGGGAUAGCUCGGCGAAAGCCGGAUUAAUACCGCAUACGACCUGAGGGUAAAAGCGGGGGAUCUUCGGACCUCGCGCUAUUGGAGCGGCCGAUGGCAGAUUAGCUAGUUGGUGGGGUAAAGGCCUACCAAGGCGACGAUCUGUAGCUGGUCUGAGAGGACGACCAGCCACACGGGGACUGAGACCCGGCCCAGACCCCCAGGGGGGGCAGCGGUGGGGAAUUUGGGACAAUGGGCGAAAGCCUGAUCCAGCAAUGCCGGGGGUGUGAGGAAGGCCUUCGGGUUGUAAAGCACUUUUGGCGGGAACGAAAAGGACUGGGCCAAUACCACGGUUCGAUGACGGUACCCGAAGAAUAAGCCCCGGCUAACUACGU
RNAcentral lists this ribosomal RNA (483 nucleotides) under uncultured bacterium. RNAcentral describes it as "partial 16S ribosomal RNA". It matches the Rfam family "Bacterial small subunit ribosomal RNA", at positions 29 to 506 of the family's 1533-position model. The record is from RNAcentral.